UUAAAGUCAUUAUCAGCCCAUAUUUUCCCUGCAAGAGCCCGUUAGAGUACUUUCUGCCCCGAUACUUCAUCAUCUUGACCUGUAACUCUAUCCUCCUCCUCUUUAAAAAGAGGAAUAUUUUUCCACUUCUCCAUGAACCCUCCUUGAAGAGAAAGAUUCCUCAUAAAGAAAGAAGAAAUAAAUAAAAAAAAAUCUUUUAUUAAAACAUCUGAAAAAAUCCCCGGUAACAAUAUUAGGGAAGAAAAUAAAAAAAAGAUAUGAAAUUAAACUCCUCUACAAAC
Molecule: long non-coding RNA, 281 nt
Filed under: Lathyrus oleraceus (garden pea)
Lineage: Eukaryota; Viridiplantae; Streptophyta; Magnoliopsida; Fabales; Fabaceae
Description: Pisum sativum (pea) long non-coding RNA (PSAT_LNC008506)
Source: RNAcentral